This is a non-coding RNA of Camellia sinensis, 832 nucleotides long. NCBI's taxonomy places the organism in Eukaryota, Viridiplantae, Streptophyta, Magnoliopsida, Ericales, Theaceae. The record is from RefSeq and is a predicted model, not a curated record.
UUCAACCGCUAGAAUUUUCAAGGCUGAGCAUCUCCAAACUUCUUCAUUUUAAUCAUCUCUCUCUCUUAUUUCGCCUCCAUAGGUUGAGCAUCUCUCUCUCUCUCUCCCAAUCUGUUUCUCUUUCUCUUUCUCUCCAUUUCAUUCCUCUCUCCAUCUUCAUCCAUUUCUUCUUCAUUUUGAUCAUCACUCUUUUCUUCUUACCAGCGUCAACCGUCUUCAAACUAGUCGACCCCCCCUCUCUCUGUGUCUGAUUUCGCCCUUUGAGCUAAGCAUCUCUCUCUCUCUCUCCAUCUUCAUCAUUCUCUUCUUCAUUUUGAUCAUCCAUCUCUUCUUUUUUACCAGCGCUGAUCGUCUUCAAACUAGUCGUCCCCCUCUCUCUCUGUCUCUAUAUCCCUCUGAUUUUGAUCAUUGAUCGCCGAGUUCGAUGGAACACAAGUGUUUGGACUAUAGUAGAGCUUAAUUGGCCUGGAAAGAAGCUCUAGAAGUCGAUGAAGAACAAGCCCUAGAGGUCGAUUUUGGUUGAGAUGAAAAACAGGUUCAUCAAUCAAGCUAGAAUCUAGGUGACCAGGCUCAAAGUUGAUCGCCUGGAGUCCCGUCUGUCUACCAACUAGCUACUGUGCCUCCUGAGGAGGUUUCUUUUGAGAAGUGGUCAAGUUUUUUGUGAACCAUGUUAAUGAUCUUUUGUAUUUUCUUUUGUUAAGCUUGAACAUGUCUUUCGUUAUGUAUAUAUAUAUAUGGUGACGUAGGAUGACGUCAAUAUAUAAAUUAAGUUUUAAAUUUUGUGUCUCAUGUAUGUCUACACAGUUCUAUGAACGUUAUAUGUUUGUAUUUA